This is a long non-coding RNA of Bubalus bubalis (water buffalo), 1568 nucleotides long. RefSeq lists it as uncharacterized. The transcript is spliced from 5 exons. The record is from RefSeq and is a predicted model, not a curated record. Lineage: Eukaryota; Metazoa; Chordata; Mammalia; Artiodactyla; Bovidae.
AUUGAUAGUUUAAUAGCCAAGCAUGUAGGAGAGUGAGAGAUUUUCCGUCUGUUGAUUGAGAAAGCCAAAGGGAGGAAAAGCCAUUGCACAAUUCUAGAGCAGGGUGAUUAUUCAGAGAACUUCACAAGCUUUGCUCAUCUUUGUUACAGCUUUGGUGGUCAGAGAAGUAAUCAAUGAAGAGUCACAUGAAGAACACUGAUGGAUACAAGCCAGGGGCAGGAAGACAGCCCAAGGACCAACAUGAAAGCCUCUUCAUGGACUUUGAAAAUUGAGAAAGGAAAUAAUCUGAUGCUCACCAGAGCCAAAAAUACAAAUCAGGCAUCGUCAAUCUUUAUUCAAGACUAUCACCUAUAAAGGCAACAUCUUUUUAAUCUCUGCCAAAGGAACGUGCAUGGAACAGAUGCCAAAGACAGCUUGGAAACUUUCGAGAGGGUUGGAAACAGCAGUUCCUAUUAGUCUCUCUAUCUACUGUAUCCAGGGUUGGCAUCAGAAGCAGUCACUGUGCUUGCCAAGGACUCAGGUGGCAUCCUGAAGGGACUACUACUUAUGAAGCCAUGUGGUGAUUUGUAUUCCUUUCAAAUUCCAAGACAAAAAUAGAGACCAUGUAUAUGGAUGCUAACCCUUAAUUGGGAAAAAAAAAAUUGUUUCAAUAAAAUGUUGUCUUUUAAUAGUUUAUUCCAAAGUUCAUGCUCAAUAUUGGACACUAAUCCAACAGAUUGUAGCAAGGUUUUGUGCAAAAUGACCACCUUCUUCUAAUUUGUCUGGCUGAAUAUUUCCUGUACCUUAUAAAAGAGGGAUAGGAUGUCCUGGGUGAAACCAUCAACAUCAGGUCUGCAGUCACCUUGAGAGCCACAGCUCCCUGCUUUUCCUCACCCUCUGAGCUCUGACUUCUACAGACCUUUCUUUCUUGUUUAUAUCUGCCACUAUCUGUCUUGCUGAGGUCCUACUGUGCUUUCUUACCCUAUGCCGUCUCCUCAAAACUAUUUUCUCCAACUCUAUUUCAUACUACCAUUUAAUUUUUCCUUCAGUUACACCUUUCAUAAAUACUUCCAUUUUAGUCCUUAUACUAAAGUCUGACUUGCAGGCAAACUGCAAAAGCAAUAAAAACAACCCCUUUCUAUGCCUCAAUUUUAACACCUAUAGUAUAGCAUUCUGUUUGUCUAUUGGUAUAUCAGUAUCACCACCUAGAUUUUGACCUCUGUGAAAGCUGACGCUAGAUCAUAUUUACCACUCUCCUUCUAAUCUUGGCUUUGGAACUGACACAUAGCAGAUGAUGAAUCAAUAAUGGUUAAAUAAAUGAGAGAAAAAAAGGUCCUUAUUCUUUAAGGAAAAAAAAAGCUUUCUAUACAUAAAAGAGACAGUUAAGUUUUAUUUUCUAUAUUUCUUACCAGAAUGUGGCCCCUGGGGUCAAAUCCUGACUCCUUCACUUGGUACCUGUUUUACUUUUUCAAGCUGAUUCAGUUCAGUUCAGUUCAGUUGCUCAGUCAUGUCCGACUCUUUGCAACCCCAUGAAUCGCAGCACACCAGGCCUCCCUGCCCAUCACCAACUCCCAGAGUUCGCUCAAACU